This 539-nucleotide ribosomal RNA is filed under the name uncultured archaeon. RNAcentral describes it as "bacterial SSU rRNA". It matches the Rfam family "Archaeal small subunit ribosomal RNA", at positions 460 to 997 of the family's 1478-position model. The record is from RNAcentral.
AGCCGCCGCGGUAACACCGGCGGCCCGAGUGGUGAUCGUGAUUAUUGGGUCUAAAGGGUCCGUAGCCGGUUUGGUCAGUCCUCCGGGAAAUCUGAUAGCUCAACUAUUAGGCUUUCGGGGGAUACUGCCAGACUUGGAACCGGGAGAGGUAAGAGGUACUACAGGGGUAGGAGUGAAAUCUUGUAAUCCCUGUGGGACCACCUGUGGCGAAGGCGUCUUACCAGAACGGGUUCGACGGUGAGGGACGAAAGCUGGGGGCACGAACCGGAUUAGAUACCCGGGUAGUCCCAGCCGUAAACGAUGCUCGCUAGGUGUCAGGCAUGGCGCGACCGUGUCUGGUGCCGCAGGGAAGCCGUGAAGCGAGCCACCUGGGAAGUACGGCCGCAAGGCUGAAACUUAAAGGAAUUGGCGGGGGAGCACAACAACGGGUGGAAGCCUGCGGUUUAAUUGGACUCAACGCCGGACAACUCACCGGGGGCGACAGCAAUAUGUAGGCCAAGCUGAAGACUUUGCCUGAAUCGCUGAGAAGAGGUGCAUGG